CCUACGGGAGGCAGCAGUGGGGAAUAUUGGGCAAUGGAGGAAACUCUGACCCAGCGACGCCGCGUGCGGGAUGAAGGCCUUCGGGCUGUAAACCGCUUCCAGUAGGGAAGAAGCGAAAGUGACGGUACCUACAAAAGAAGCACCGGCUAACUAUGUGCCAGCAGCCGCGGUAAUACAUAGGGUGCAAGCGUUGUCCGGAAUUAUUGGGCGUAAAGAGCUCGUAGGUCGUUUGUUACGUCGGAUGUGAAAACCUGAGGCUCAACCUCAGGCCUGCAUUCGAUACGGGCAAACUAGAGUUUGGUAGGGGAGACUGGAAUUCCUGGUGUAGCGGUGGAAUGCGCAGAUAUCAGGAGGAACACCAAUGGCGAAGGCAGGUCUCUGGGCCAAUACUGACACUGAGGAGCGAAAGUCUGGGGAGCGAACAGGAUUAGAUACCCUGGUAGUCCAGACCGUAAACGGUGGGCACUAGUUGUGGGAACCUUCCACGGUUUCUGCGACGCAGCUAACGCAUUAAGUGCCCCGCCUGGGGAGUACGAUCGCAAGAUUAAAACUUAAGGAAUUGACGGCNGAGACGNGCGAGCGACGACGAGGAGAG
Molecule: ribosomal RNA, 595 nt
Filed under: uncultured bacterium
Lineage: Bacteria
Description: bacterial SSU rRNA
Rfam family: Bacterial small subunit ribosomal RNA
Source: RNAcentral